UGCUGAGAAACUUCCAAGAACACGAAAACAGAAAGUAGCAAAAAAAAUCGAAUAGUCACAUUCGAACCAGACUGUAGUCACGUUGAUGUUGCUGCUUCAGAUCUGGAGAGAAAAAAAAAAGAAAAAAAUCGAAAAUAACGAAAGGAAGGUGGUGUGAUGUGUAGGAGGCGACAACAUGAGUUUUUUUGGAGGUUUGACACCGUAGCAAGUCUUGACGGCAUUCGAACCAGACUGUAGCAAAAAAAAUCGAAUAGUCACAUUCGAACCAGACUGUAGUCACGUUGAUGUUGCUGCUUCAGAUCUAGAGAGAAAAAAAAGAAAAAAAUCGAAAAUAACGAAAGGAAGGUGGUGUGAUGUGUAGGAGACGACAACAUGAGUUUUUUGGGAGGUUUGACACCGUAGCAAGUCUUGACGGCACAACCCUAGACGGCGGCUGUGAUAUCGGUGGUUGGGUGAGUGGAUAAUGGCGGUGAUGUGAAAAGGAGGGAGGAGGGCGGCGACGCUGGUGUAAAUCUCAAAUGCAAGCGGCAGCGGCAGAUCUGCAAAGAAGAAUACGGAAAAAAAAAAAAAAAAAAGAGAGGAAAUAGAGAUUACGAGAGAACAGAGAGAGUUUCACGUGAGAGAGAACGGCAAAGAAGAAGGGGAAAAAAACUGUUGUUAAGGGUAAUUAUGUCUUAUCCUAUCUUAAUAAGGGGGUCUCACUAAUUAAGAUUGGGAUAUGGGUGUGGGAAAAAGUCUAAAAAGUCAAGUGGGUUUUUUACAUAAUAUUUUCCAUUUUAGGGGGGGAUUGCAUAUUUCCCCUUCUUUUAAUAUAUAACAUACUUUUAAAUGAAAUAUGUACUUAAAUAUUUAACAACAAACAUAUAGCCUAUUAUAGUUUCUGACAAUGUUACCUCACAACAGUUAGUCAUCUAAUCUGUCUACCGAGAUUAGUUUAUCUGUUUGUGCAGGCAAAAUUCAGUAGAAAGACAGCCAUUUAUCACACUCCUAAACUCAUUUCCUUGACAAAAAAAAGAAGGAAAAAAUAAAAUAAAA
This is a non-coding RNA of Erythranthe guttata (spotted monkey flower), 1035 nucleotides long. NCBI's taxonomy places the organism in Eukaryota, Viridiplantae, Streptophyta, Magnoliopsida, Lamiales, Phrymaceae. The record is from RefSeq and is a predicted model, not a curated record.